GACGAACGCUGGCGGCGUGCUUAACACAUGCAAGUCGAACGGAAAGGCCCUGCUUUUGUGGGGUGCUCGAGUGGCGAACGGGUGAGUAACACGUGAGUAACCUGCCCUUGACUUUGGGAUAACUUCAGGAAACUGGGGCUAAUACCGGAUAGGAGCUCCUGCUGCAUGGUGGGGGUUGGAAAGUUUCGGCGGUUGGGGAUGGACUCGAGGCUUAUCAGCUUGUUGGUGGGGUAGUGGCUUACCAAGGCUUUGACGGGUAGCCGGCCUGAGAGGGUGACCGGCGACAUGGGGACUGAGAGACGGACCAGACUCCUACGGGAGGCAGCAGGGGGGAAUAUGGCACAAUGGGCGGAAGCCUGAGGCAGCAGCGCCGCGUGCGGGAUGACGGCUUUCGGGUUGUAAACCGCUUUCGCCUGUGACGAAGCGUGAGUGACGGUAAUGGGUAAAGAAGCACCGGCUAACUACGUG
Molecule: ribosomal RNA, 468 nt
Filed under: uncultured bacterium
Lineage: Bacteria
Description: partial 16S ribosomal RNA
Rfam family: Bacterial small subunit ribosomal RNA
Source: RNAcentral